This 253-nucleotide ribosomal RNA is filed under the name uncultured bacterium. RNAcentral describes it as "partial 16S ribosomal RNA". It matches the Rfam family "Bacterial small subunit ribosomal RNA", at positions 524 to 776 of the family's 1533-position model. The record is from RNAcentral.
UACAGAGGUCUCAAGCGUUGUUCGGAUUCAUUGGGCGUAAAGGGUGCGUAGGUGGCGCUGUAAGUCGGGUGUGAAAUCCUGAGGCUUAACCUCGGAACUGCAUUCGAUACUGCGGUGCUUGAGGACUGGAGAGGAGACUGGAAUUCAUGGUGUAGCAGUGAAAUGCGUAGAGAUCAUGAGGAAGACCAGUGGCGAAAGCGGCUUCCUGGUCCAGCACCGACAUUCAGGCACGAAAGCGUGGGGAGCAAACAGG